This 107-nucleotide transfer RNA is filed under the name Nocardioides panzhihuensis. RNAcentral's name for it is "tRNA-Leu". The record is from RNAcentral. Lineage: Bacteria; Bacillati; Actinomycetota; Actinomycetes; Propionibacteriales; Nocardioidaceae.
GGAGGUUUCUCCGAAGCUGGCCGAAGAGUCUCGAGAGAUUCGGCGCCCGACGAAGGCCGCCAGGCACCAAGAGAAGGCCAGGGGUUCGAAUCCCCUCAGCUCCACCA